RNAcentral lists this ribosomal RNA (118 nucleotides) under Erinaceus europaeus (western European hedgehog). The record is from RNAcentral. Lineage: Eukaryota; Metazoa; Chordata; Mammalia; Eulipotyphla; Erinaceidae.
ACCGGCAGACCUCCCACCCUGAACACGCCCUGUGUCAUGUGAUCUUGGAAGCUAAGCAAGGCCGGGCCUGGUUAUUACUUGGAUGGGAGAAAAGAGACAACCACAGGCACUGGCAGUG